This is a long non-coding RNA of Archocentrus centrarchus (flier cichlid), 789 nucleotides long. RefSeq lists it as uncharacterized. The transcript has 2 exons. Lineage: Eukaryota; Metazoa; Chordata; Actinopteri; Cichliformes; Cichlidae. The record is from RefSeq and is a predicted model, not a curated record.
GCAGAUGGAAACUGGUUCAGCAGCCUGGUUAUCAGCAGCUAUGGAGGCUGGAGAGGGACUGCAGCACAGAGCACAGGGUGAUGGUAUCUUCCUGCAGAGGGGAUAGACAGUUCCUGUUGAGAGUAAACACCUUCUGGAAGUGUCUCCGUUUUUUGUAUCCUUUCUGCAGACAUCAGAGUCAUCAUUAGACGCUCGCGCUGCUGAAGGGUCGACCGCUGUGAGAUGGGAUGCGGUGGGUCGAGAUGCCGGAUUGAAGCCCACUCUGACAAACCAAAGGGGGCGGUCACCGAGGAGGCUGAGGAGUUUCUGAAGCAUGUAAACGACUCAAAAUGUUUCAGCAGCUCGCGGGAUCCCCCUCCAGCCAGCAGAGCCCUGCUGGACUUUGCUCAAAGGAUGUCAGAGGGCAUCGUCGCUCAGGCUCUGCAGCUCUGCUGGGAGGUGGAGAUCCGAUACGAUGAGCUGCCUUUCAUUGACAGCGACGUGGAUUAUGUUUAUGAACCCAGACGUUUUUCUGCUUGAACUCGAACCUCCGCCCGGACUGUGUGAAAAGGGUGAAGCUCAUUUCUUAGAGUUUCUACAGCGGAAAUCUGAGGCAUAUUUUAUUGUAAAAACUUUGUGGUGCAGAACAAGAAAUGGCAUUUAUAAAAUCUUGAAAGUUAUGACCAAAGACUAAAAAAGGAAACUAGAUUAUGACCACUACAAUCCAGGUGCUCAAGCUGGUGAUGAAAAGUGUUUAUGUUAACAGAUAAUUCAUGCAGUAAAAUAAAGGCAUAUUAUUCAUUAUUCAAA